This 253-nucleotide ribosomal RNA is filed under the name uncultured bacterium. RNAcentral describes it as "partial 16S ribosomal RNA". It matches the Rfam family "Bacterial small subunit ribosomal RNA", at positions 524 to 776 of the family's 1533-position model. The record is from RNAcentral.
UACAGAGGUCCCAAGCGUUGUUCGGAUUCACUGGGCGUAAAGGGUGCGUAGGUGGUUGUGCAAGUCUGAUGUGAAAUCUCCGGGCUCAACCCGGAAAUGGCAUUGGAAACUGCAUGGCUAGAGGGUUGGAGGGGGGACUGGAAUACUUGGUGUAGCAGCGAAAUGCGUAGAUAUCAAGUGGAACACCAGUGGCGAAGGCGAGUCCCUGGACAACACCUGACACUGAGGCACGAAAGCUAGGGGAGCAAACAGG